GCCCUGAUAGUAUAAACAUUACUUUGGUCUUGUAAACCAAAAAUGAGGGGUAUCCUCUCAGGACAAUAAA
This 70-nucleotide transfer RNA is filed under the name Mylomys dybowskii (African groove-toothed rat). RNAcentral describes it as "tRNA-Thr". The record is from RNAcentral. Lineage: Eukaryota; Metazoa; Chordata; Mammalia; Rodentia; Muridae.